Molecule: ribosomal RNA, 256 nt
Filed under: uncultured bacterium
Lineage: Bacteria
Description: partial 16S ribosomal RNA
Rfam family: Bacterial small subunit ribosomal RNA
Source: RNAcentral
UGGCGGACGGGUGAGUAAUGUCUGGGAAACUGCCUGAUGGAGGGGGAUAACUACUGGAAACGGUAGCUAAUACCGCAUAACGUCGCAAGACCAAAGAGGGGGACCCUCGGGCCUCUUGCCAUCGGAUGUGCCCAGAUGGGAUUAGCUUGUUGGUGGGGUAACGGCACACCAAGGCGACGAUCCCUAGCUGGUCUGAGAGGAUGACCAGCCACACUGGAACUGAGACACGGUCCAGACUCCUACGGGAGGCAGCAUG